RNAcentral lists this long non-coding RNA (520 nucleotides) under Homo sapiens (human). Its description in RNAcentral is "HSALNT0394196". The record is from RNAcentral. Lineage: Eukaryota; Metazoa; Chordata; Mammalia; Primates; Hominidae.
ACUUGAGCAACUUAAGAUGGGCAUAACCUUCUGUCUCUCUCUUUCAUUUCCAUAUUAUAAUGCAAGUUAUUGAAGUUCUUCUCUUUGUCUUUUAUUCCCCUGCUCAAACGUUUUUAAUGAUUUUCAGAAUUUUGUUGCAAGUUAUAGAUUACACAUUAUCAUGUGGACUACCAUUUAAUAAUUACUGUCUUGCCUCUUAUGAGACAGUGAAGGGUGUUCCCAAGUUGUGGUAGACAGGGUGUGUUCCUCUUUGCUUGUGAUACUACCAGUACUAGUUUUCAUUGGUCCUAAGGUGCAUAUUUUAGCAUUGCCGAAAUCCAGAAGUGUCUUAAAAUUGCUGGUGACCAGGUGUCAGCUGUGACGUAUUAUCAUUGCCUGCACCUGUGCAACUUUGAUGUUAUUGGCAUGGCGUGACUGGUUAGCUGUACUCCCUGGCUUUUCAGUUAAUAAAUAAUUUAAGGACAUUUUGAGAAAGAAGCAUGAAUCCUGGCUGUUGUCUGAAAACUUUUCAUUGAUGGAU